RNAcentral lists this ribosomal RNA (418 nucleotides) under Cryptosporidium hominis. Its description in RNAcentral is "partial small subunit ribosomal RNA". It matches the Rfam family "Eukaryotic small subunit ribosomal RNA", at positions 596 to 1037 of the family's 1831-position model. The record is from RNAcentral. Lineage: Eukaryota; Apicomplexa; Conoidasida; Eucoccidiorida; Cryptosporidiidae.
AGCGUAUAUUAAAGUUGUUGCAGUUAAAAAGCUCGUAGUUGGAUUUCUGUUAAUAAUUUAUAUAAAAUAUUUUGAUGAAUAUUUAUAUAAUAUUAACAUAAUUCAUAUUACUAUUUUUUUUUUUAGUAUAUGAAAUUUUACUUUGAGAAAAUUAGAGUGCUUAAAGCAGGCAUAUGCCUUGAAUACUCCAGCAUGGAAUAAUAUUAAAGAUUUUUAUCUUUUUUAUUGGUUCUAAGAUAAGAAUAAUGAUUAAUAGGGACAGUUGGGGGCAUUUGUAUUUAACAGUCAGAGGUGAAAUUCUUAGAUUUGUUAAAGACAAACUAAUGCGAAAGCAUUUGCCAAGGAUGUUUUCAUUAAUCAAGAACGAAAGUUAGGGGAUCGAAGACGAUCAGAUACCGUCGUAGUCUUAACCAUAAAC